GCCCCACAACAGGCGCCACCUCCAAGAGGUGUGGGGUGGGCAACUGCCUCUUUCGAGGCAGGCUAAGCGCGUCA
Molecule: non-coding RNA, 74 nt
Filed under: unclassified sequences
Source: RNAcentral